GACUCGAUAGCUCAGCUGGAUAGAGCAAUAGCUUCCGAAGCUAGAGGUCGUGGGUUCAAAUCCCUCUCGAGUCGCCA
Molecule: transfer RNA, 77 nt
Filed under: Candidatus Izemoplasmatales bacterium
Lineage: Bacteria; Bacillati; Mycoplasmatota; Mollicutes; Candidatus Izemoplasmatales
Description: tRNA-Arg
Rfam family: tRNA
About the family: Transfer RNA (tRNA) molecules are approximately 80 nucleotides in length. Their secondary structure includes four short double-helical elements and three loops (D, anti-codon, and T loops).
Source: RNAcentral